RNAcentral lists this unclassified non-coding RNA (329 nucleotides) under soil metagenome. Its description in RNAcentral is "partial contains 5.8S ribosomal RNA, internal transcribed spacer 2, and large subunit ribosomal RNA". The stretch from base 1 to 120 matches the Rfam family "5.8S ribosomal RNA", at positions 35 to 154 of the family's 154-position model. The record is from RNAcentral.
GAUGAAGAACGUAGCGAAAUGCGAUAAGUAGUGUUAAUUGCAGAAUUCAGUGAAUCAUCGAAUCUUUGAACGCACAUUGCGCCCCUUGGUAUCCCGAGGGGCAUGCCUGUUCGAGCGUCAUUUCACCACUCAAGCCUGGCUUGGUGUUGGGCGACGUCCCCUUUGGGGACGCGCCUCGAAACGCUCGGCGGCGUGGCACCGGCUUUAAGCGUAGCAGAAUCUUUCGCUUUGGAAGUCGGGGCCCCGUCUGCCGGAAGACCUACUCGCAAGGUUGACCUCGGAUCAGGCAGGGAUACCCGCUGAACUUAAGCAUAUCAAUAAGCGGAGGA